Molecule: unclassified non-coding RNA, 363 nt
Filed under: uncultured Olpidiales
Lineage: Eukaryota; Fungi; Olpidiomycota; Olpidiomycetes; Olpidiales
Description: sequence contains ITS2
Source: RNAcentral
AACGCAUAUUGCGCUCUUUGGUAUUCCAGAGAGCAUGCCUGUUUGAGUAUUGGUACUAUGGGUGAACUUCCUUUGAAUUUUCAAAGUAAAAUCAUUUAAAACCCUAUUGAGACAUCUUGGCAAUCAUUUUUCAAGUGUCUUAAAAUUCAAUUGAAUUUUCCAUGUUCCAGUGGAAGAUGACUAGUUUAUGGAGUAAUAUGGUAAGGGUUGCCCCUGACCUGAAAAAGUGCUGUCAAAGGCUCUUUUUCUUACUUUUCUUCUAGUUGUCUUCAGCUGGAACAUGAUCUUUGAAUGCCCUUGAAGAAGACAUUCAAAAGUUUUAAUCUCAAUCUCAAAUCAGGUAGGAUUACCCGCUGAACUUAA